This 309-nucleotide ribosomal RNA is filed under the name uncultured bacterium. RNAcentral's name for it is "partial 16S ribosomal RNA". It matches the Rfam family "Bacterial small subunit ribosomal RNA", at positions 504 to 807 of the family's 1533-position model. The record is from RNAcentral.
AGAGACAGCAGCCGCCGCGGGAAUACGUAGGUGGCAAGCGUUGUCCGGAUUUAUUGGGCGUAAAGCGUGCGCAGGCGGUUGUGUAAGACAGGUGUGAAAUCCCCGGGCUUAACCUGGGAACUGCGCUUGUGACUGCACAGCUAGAGUAUGGCAGAGGGGGGUGGAAUUCCACGUGUAGCAGUGAAAUGCGUAGAGAUGUGGAGGAACACCGAUGGCGAAGGCAGCCCCCUGGGCCAAUACUGACGCUCAUGCACGAAAGCGUGGGGAGCAAACAGGAUUAGAUACCCCAGUAGUCCCUGUCUCUUAUAC